Molecule: ribosomal RNA, 433 nt
Filed under: Bellamya cf. capillata 17053
Lineage: Eukaryota; Metazoa; Mollusca; Gastropoda; Architaenioglossa; Viviparidae
Description: partial 16S ribosomal RNA
Rfam family: Bacterial large subunit ribosomal RNA
Source: RNAcentral
ACGGCCGCGGUAUCUUGACCGUGCAAAGGUAGCAUAAUCAAUUGUUUUAUAAUUGAAGACUGGAAUGAAUGGUUGAAUGAAAUAUUAGCUGUCUUAUUUAUAUUUGUUAGAAUUUAGCUUUUAAAUGAAGAGAUUUAAAUAUAAUUGAUAGACAAGAAGACCCUGUUGAGCUUUAAAUAAUUUUAAAGAAAUAGUUUUAUUAUAUUAAAUAAAUAAAUUUUAAAUUUUUUUUGGUUGGGGCGACUGAGGAAUAAUAAAAGCUUCCUUUAAUAUAACUAUAUUAAUUGAUUUUGAUCCAAUAUUAUUGAUUAAAAGAAAUAGUUACCACAGGGAUAACAGCAUAAUCUUCUUUGAGAGUUCAUAUCGAAAAGAGGGGUUGUGACCUCGAUGUUGGACUAAAAUAUCCUAUAAAUGUAGCUGUUUAUAAUGGUUG